Molecule: small nuclear RNA, 122 nt
Organism: Dermacentor albipictus
Lineage: Eukaryota; Metazoa; Arthropoda; Arachnida; Ixodida; Ixodidae
Product: U5 spliceosomal RNA
Source: RefSeq, a predicted model, not a curated record
CUGCUCAGGUCUCUCCUCAUUCGUCGAAUUAUUCUUUCGCCUUUUACUAAAGAAUACCGUGGGGAGGGUCACUCGAAUGAACCUACAGGCGAAUUUUUGGAAGGCCCUAUUCGUCUGGGUAG